Molecule: small nuclear RNA, 107 nt
Organism: Cebus imitator (Panamanian white-faced capuchin)
Lineage: Eukaryota; Metazoa; Chordata; Mammalia; Primates; Cebidae
Source: RefSeq, a predicted model, not a curated record
GUGCUUGCUUUGGCAGCACAUACACUAAAAUCAGAAUAAUACAGAGAAGAUUAGCAUGGCCUCUGCAUAAGGAUGACAUGCAAAUUCAUGAAGCAUUCCAUUUUUAA